Molecule: long non-coding RNA, 5155 nt
Organism: Gasterosteus aculeatus aculeatus (three-spined stickleback)
Lineage: Eukaryota; Metazoa; Chordata; Actinopteri; Perciformes; Gasterosteidae
Source: Ensembl
GUUUACGUCUUACCAAAAAAUAAAUCACCUGCCUCAAUAGAUUUGAAAUGCUUAUGGGUAUUUUCAGGUAAGAAAAAAACAGCUCCUUUAUGUUAUAGUUUUACAUUCUACUGAAGCGUAUUAAUAUUUACUCUUACUCUUUAUACUAUUUAACCAAGUGAGCUGUAAUAAAUUAUAUUUGCAUGUAGCUAAGCAGCAUCAGGAAGAAUUGAAAUUGUUUUAGGUUGAUCUCUGUUAAGGUGACAUUGGGCACUGUAGAAAUGCAUAAAUGUACUAUGAACACUUGCUAUUACAAAUGUUCAUGUACAGUAGAAAUGCAUGAAUUUAUUGUAAAACACCUGAUAUUAAAAAUGUUUAUGUACUGUAGAAAUGCAUGAAUUUGUUAUAAAAUUAUUAUUGUUAUGUCACCAGGAAUGGGAUAUGUAUACAAACUGAAAUCCAUAGGGUUAUUCAAAAUGGAGGCUGUACCAGGUACCAACUUGUACAAAACAACACCUUCUUAUAGGAAAGCUUCUGCAUUAGAACUACAGAAAUUGACGGUUAGAGGACAUUGAACCAACCCAGAGCCAGCUUCAUAGCUGUUUCAAACUUAUAAUAAAUAGACACCAGCAUGUAAGAAACAACAACGCCUGGGGGAUGGGGGAUGUACAUAAACCAAUGUUGUUAAUUGUUUUUGGUUCUUGAGCAAAAGCAUAGUGGCCUGUGGACUGUUAUUGCUCGGGAAACCUCUGCAUCACAACUUAUUCUCAUCAUUCUUAUUUCUUAUUAAAACCACUAUAUUCAGGGCUGUAGUGGAGGGUAAACGCACGUAAACGCCGUUUACGCACCUCUAGAAUUUGGAAAUAGCGUUUAAGCACCUAUAAAUAGCGUUUACGCACCUCAAAGUUCCCUGCGCCUUGUAUUCUUCCGUUGGAAUAAUCUGGAAUAAACUUGGUGUAAUUUUAAAACAGCUAAGACUACGUUUCCUAUUGUUGAACAUAUAAACGCCGUAGUCUAAAUCAUGUUCAUCUGCGCUGUAUUACGGUCUGUGAGCAUCCAAUCAGUGCCUUGCGGCUGCAGCAGCGACCAAUCAGGAUCCAGGAGGUGUGUAAACACACGCUUGAGUGUUGAUAUUUUUGAAUGCAUUGCAUCAAGCAGGGGACACUAAUCUCGUGGGGGGUCAGACCAUAGCAGGAUUAGUAGGGGCAGGGAGAUACAGGUGCAGGAGCACUUAUUCUGCAUGCUAAUAUGUGUAUACAUACAUGUGUGUGUGUGUGUGUGUGUGUGUGUGUGUGUGUGUGUGUGUGUGUGUGUGUGUGUGUAAGCUUCUACUCUGUUCUCAGAGGACAGAAGGAAACUUCAAAGACCUUCAGAUUAGUUUUCAUUAAUGCAAAAUCAGUGCGUUUGAGAUGAAGUGAAAUAUCCAAAUACAGCGGCAGAGAUUGUUGUCGUGGUGGGCAGCUUGGUUUUUUAGCAAAUGUGGGUUCUCGCUCCCACUCCCCCUCCCUUCUCUUUUCCUUUCUCUUUUCACUCUUCUUGAAAAGUUUUUCUUUUUCUACUUGUCAUCUUAUAUAAUCUCAUAUAAUGUCAACAUCACGGAUGGGCCGGCUCGACUGCAGAUGUGAACAAUCUGCAUCCGAGUGUCACAGAUGACCACGGAGGCUCCCUCUAACUGGUGAUCCAUCACCGCACUAACCGGACGACAGGGACCGACUAGUAAUGCAACAAUUGAUCGAUGUGCAAACUGUAAUUAAAAGCCUUGCUCUAAUAAGUACCAUGGGAGCAAUAGCCAUUCCGCAUGCGUGGUUAAAGUGUAUAGGAGAGGAGUGGAACGAAAAGGGAUGGUGGAGGGGUGGUGGGGGGAGGCGGGUAGAGUGAUGGAUAUGGGAGGUAUUAUAGAUGAGUGGACUUAGAAGGAGGGACCGAGAGAUGCUGGAGGGCUGGUUGAGCAGGCCUGGGUGAGAAGAUCAAAGCUCAAGUGCUACGAUGGACAGAUUGAAAAGCACGGGGUCGGGGAAGGCGGAGGAGGGUGCUGUUGGCAAAAUUUCUAACAGAAAAAAGCAGGAAGGAGAGGAAACCAGGGAGAGGGUUAUUAUGAAUUGGCUGCAAAAAAAUGGCAAAGAUCGUCGUUGAAUUAUGAAACAUUUUCGAGGCCUGUGCCUAAGCCAGAGGUGUGAUCCCAACCUUCUCCCCCUCCCCCUUUACCACCUUGUUUACCAUCCGGCGGGAGGACACAAAUACGGAGUGAUGGACAGAGCGCCGAAGACUUAAAAUGCAGCCCUUUGUCUCAUUAUCUCUGGCCAUAUCGUAAUGAGCUGCACCCUCAUACAGUUCCUAAUUAAAACCAACCUUCACUCUCUGCAACAAUGAAUCACAAAUGAAUACGGCCCAACAUGCGUGGAUUGGAGUGAACACAGACACAUGCGCACACAAAAGUCACAAACCUUGGGUGGGAUAUUCUUCUAAAUCCUUCCGUAAACAAUUAAGCGAGUUAUGGAGUGUUUAAUGAGAUAAAAGCAGAUAAAAACCUUGCCCUUUGUUCGUCUGUCCGCUGGGACCCCCGAGCCAGGAGUUAGUGUGUGUUAUCAGGACGUCUCCCCCUGAGACGGCUGCACGGCUGAGGAGCUCCGGGCCUUAACUCUUUCGCGGGGUGUGCGGGGUCUGCACGAGUGGGCGUGUGUUUCAACUUCAGAACGUCGCUCCGGGUACAAACAUAUCAAGUAUAUUCAAUUUGUCUUUUUUGGCUCUGAUUCUCCCCAGCCCUGGAUACAUGUAAGGCAUCUUCUCUGAACCUUACACACCUCCAGAAAACAGCGCAGCAGAGGCGCGUUUGCCCAGAAGGCGGCAAAUUAAACAAGGCUGGGAAGGAGACAUCCCCCCCUUCCCGCCUUCUCCCCUUUCAUUUGAAUUUGUGAUUGCUCACCGCGGUGUUGCUGCCUGCCGCUUCACAUUGGGAAGCAUGAAAUGAGAAGAGCUUUAGUGUUUAUUGAGACCCAUGCGGUGUUAAGCGCAGGAUACAGUGAAAUCUCAUUUGAAUUCAAACCAGACGGAGUUCAUUCAAAACAAAGCGCCAGGAGCUUUGGUACAACAGCCCGGGAAUCCCCCCCCCUCCCCCCCCCAAAAGAAAUCCUUUAACCACAUUUUUUGCCACCGCUUUCUUUCGCUCUGUCUGUCUGCCUGUGUUCCAUCUCCGCUUUCACCUCUCCUAUCAAUCCCUCUCCCAUAGUCUGUGCCUGCUGGUUGUCACACGUUAUCCGCUAAUCGAGAGAAAGAGGCCUGUUCCGUCAACAGUCUCGCUGAUCUAGAAGAUCCUAUCUACCCUCAACAUAUGUCUGCAAAUAUUUUGUCCCAUGAAUGAUUCAUGCAGGGUUUUUUUUUUUUUUGCAUCUGAUGGCGGAAUUCAUAUCCUUGUUUACUUAUCCCCCCCUCCACUUUGAAUGCGAUGUGGCUUUUUUAUAUAAGACUGCAAUUACCCGUGUGCGGACUAGCCGGCGAGGAAAUGUCACCACACUCGACUUAGCUAGACUGGCUAAACAAUGACAGGCACUAGACAGGCAUCAGAUUCAACGUACACACCAGCAUCCUCAUUAGGGGAGGCUGAUGCCAACGUUCGACACGGAAAGUUCGCGAGACAUCAAAACCGUCUCGUGAUACAGGAUGUGGGAAGAAUGCAGCGGCACCCGAGAUCGGAAACCUUGGUAAGCACCUUACGCAAUUCCGACAUCUGUGCGCGCUGUGAUAUUUUUCCACGUCGUGACGUGAGAUAAAAUGCACAAAGCCGCUUCGCUGGUACUUUUAUUGUCAUGAGCCGCUGCCCUUGAUGCUUCAAAUAAUACCUUUUUUUUUAGCAGAGUGUUGCUCGAGUUUAAACUCCUUUGUCAGUUCCACAUUGUUUUUCCUUGUCCUGUCCCAGAGCCGCAGCCUGUCUCUCCUUUGCCCUCUGUACUCCCCCAAUACUAAUUCAUCUCUCGGCUAAUGACACGCUCAUCUUCGGUCACCUUCAACACGCUGCCUCUCAAAACAGUUUCCCGAAAAAUGCUUUCGCUUUCUAGAGGCCGCCGGUGUCAAAACAUCAAAGGUAGAGUGGCAGCGUAAACACCAACAGCUGAUGCUUUCUUCGGGAUAAUCACCCCUGCUGCUCCUGGCACUCAGCUCCCCUCUUUGGGUUGCAGUGAGGGGUGGUUGUCUUAUCUGUGUGCGUGCAAGCUUGCAUCUAUGUGGGAUUAAUCCAUACUGAGCGAAAGGUAGGGUGCAAUCAGCGCUCCAUUUGAGAAUAGUAGAAGGCUCUGUGACCAUGAAGGGGAAAUGGGAAAUGGGAGAUGGCGUGUCCAGCGUUUUGCCGGGGUAAUGGAGCCUAAGAAGUCAUUUAGAACCAGCCCUGCCCUGUCACAUGCCUGUCACACCACUGGCUUGGCAGUGUCAGAUCUGAUGUGCGUCUAGUUGAGCAUCACGGGAGUCCGCCGGCAUCUCCCGUAGCCUCGCGUCGGUCAAAGACAACACACCCUAACAAUUGGCCAAUGCGAACACUCACACACAGAGACACACACACUUCCGUCCCAGAAAAAAGGCAACCGAGCAUCCGCCGGCCCGUCGAGCUAUCAAAUCUGUCCCCGCUAGAUAAACAUCCUCUCGACACUGUGACAUUUUCUCCUGACACAAGCGGGCAAAACGUGCACGGCGGGUGUUUAUGUGUGCAUGUCUGCCAGAGUGUUUUAUUUAUGCAUGCAGAAAUAACAGGCCUUUUAUAUAAAGAGCAAAAUUAAUGUAUGACCCGGCUGUACUAGGUAAUAAAUCACUCCUCCUGAAGGAUGAGCAUUUUUCUUUCUUUAUUUAUUUUUAGCUUCUCUCUCUAAAAUGUUACGAUUAGCAUUUUAUUACGUAGUGUCUAUAAAAAUAAUUGUAAGAUUUAUGCAAAUGGUAUUAGAUGAUGCAAAGUGCUUCUGACACGGUUAUGAGAGCCAUGUCAGACACUUCUGUUUUGGAUCAACGGGAAAAGAGCAUCAAGCUGACUUCAUUCAACUUGACGUGUACUUUAACUCCCUGUCCAAUUUGAUUUAAUUAGUCGAUAUUUGUCGUCUUUUAUGCUAUAUGAACGGCUUUGUUUGUCUCGCUCAAGCACUUUGGACUGAGCAUUACACAGUCUAAUGGCUCUGAUAAGCACACUGUUUUCUCUCCU